RNAcentral lists this ribosomal RNA (207 nucleotides) under Spartaeus wildtrackii. RNAcentral describes it as "partial 16S ribosomal RNA". Lineage: Eukaryota; Metazoa; Arthropoda; Arachnida; Araneae; Salticidae. The record is from RNAcentral.
AAGAGGGUCUGNUCGACCCUUAAAUAAUUACAUGAUUUGAGUUCAGACCGGUACAAGCCAGGUCGGUUUCUAUCUUNUAAAAAAUACUGNNCAGUACGAAAGGACCUACAAUUAUUAUUUCAUAAUAUAUUGGCAGACAAUGCAUUAGAAUUAGAAUCUAAUUAAUUCAUAAUAAAAUUAUUAAUAUUUUCAUUAAAUACUUUAAUG